This 376-nucleotide ribosomal RNA is filed under the name uncultured bacterium. Its description in RNAcentral is "bacterial SSU rRNA". It matches the Rfam family "Bacterial small subunit ribosomal RNA", at positions 523 to 898 of the family's 1533-position model. The record is from RNAcentral.
AUACGUAGGGGGCAAGCGUUGUCCGGAAUUAUUGGGCGUAAAGCGCGCGCAGGCGGUCGGGUAAGUCUGAUGUUAAAGCCCGGGGCUCAACCCCGGUUCGCAUUGGAAACUGCUCGACUUGAGUGCAGAAGAGGAAAGCGGAAUUCCACGUGUAGCGGUGAAAUGCGUAGAGAUGUGGAGGAACACCAGUGGCGAAGGCGGCUUUCUGGUCUGUAACUGACGCUGAGGCGCGAAAGCGUGGGGAGCAAACAGGAUUAGAUACCCUGGUAGUCCACGCCGUAAACGAUGAGUGCUAGGUGUUGGGGGUUUCAACACCCUCAGUGCCGCAGCUAACGCAAUAAGCACUCCGCCUGGGGAGUACGCUCGCAAGAGUGAA